Molecule: non-coding RNA, 85 nt
Organism: Acanthosepion pharaonis
Lineage: Eukaryota; Metazoa; Mollusca; Cephalopoda; Sepiida; Sepiidae
Source: the annotation of a GenBank genome assembly
UCGUUCGAUCACCCAAGUUAAGCAUCGUAGAGCCAGGUCAGUACUUAGAUGGGGGACCGCUUUGGGAACACCUGGUACUGUAAGC